Long non-coding RNA from Lagenorhynchus albirostris (white-beaked dolphin), 274 nucleotides. RefSeq lists it as uncharacterized. The record is from RefSeq and is a predicted model, not a curated record. Lineage: Eukaryota; Metazoa; Chordata; Mammalia; Artiodactyla; Delphinidae. The transcript has 3 exons.
GUUUCUCUGGUGAGACGCCUCCUUGGGGGCCCUGAAGCCAGGGUGAAGAGGCUGCUCUCCAGCCCGGCUGCUGGCAGCUGGUUUCCCUGCUCUCCCACUGAUUGGUGAUGUUCUCAUCUGUUAAAUCGGAAGAAGAGCAUUUGCUUCAUAGGAUCUCUGGGAAGAUUCAAAGAGACAAUGCAGGGACCACUAAGGCCAAGAGACCUCAAGCCACAUACCCAGUGGAAGAGCCAGGAUGCAUAUUCACAGGCUGGCCCCAGAGUCUGUGUUCUUA